This 253-nucleotide ribosomal RNA is filed under the name uncultured bacterium. Its description in RNAcentral is "partial 16S ribosomal RNA". It matches the Rfam family "Bacterial small subunit ribosomal RNA", at positions 524 to 776 of the family's 1533-position model. The record is from RNAcentral.
UACGAAGGGUGCAAGCGUUACUCGGAAUUACUGGGCGUAAAGCGUGCGUAGGUGGUGAGUUAAGUCUGAUGUGAAAUCCCCGGGCUCAACCUGGGAAUGGCAUUGGAUACUGGCUCGCUAGAGUGCGGUAGAGGGUGGUGGAAUUCCCGGUGUAGCAGUGAAAUGCGUAGAGAUCGGGAGGAACAUCUGUGGCGAAGGCGGCCACCUGGACCAACACUGACACUAAGGCACGAAAGCGUGGGGAGCAAACAGG